AGAUGGCCUCAAACCCUAAAUAAGAAGUGCUGCUUAACCACAGAGAUUUAUGAGGAUAUUUUCUUGCCUACUUGUGGUUUCCACGGUGCAAGCCUUAAUACACGGAGCAAUGUGGGGAGAGAACUGGGAAGGUCACAGAUCUCAGGGCAGGAAAGUACCAUGAGAUGUAGCACAAAUGCCUGCUGUGAACAGAGAGUUACAUUUAGUUUGAGCGUCCACAUAUUGAAUUAAAGAACUUGUGUUAAACUAAAACCCUUCAUCUAGCAAGGCAUAAAAUCUUCCACUGAAGCCUUUAAGAAGUGGAAAAAAUAUUUCUAUCAGAAGCAUUUGAUAAUCAUCCUUUCUUUUUUCUUACUGAAAAAUGCUUUCACAUAAAAAUUGCUUUUCCUAUUAUUGCUACAUAAAAUUGAUACUUAUUUGUCCAUUGAUAAUUUGAAUAUUAUCACUGACUCCUCUAUCUGAAUUAAUGCUUUCUUAAUACUAGGUAUUUUGAGACCUUACAGAGACAUUCUCUACAGAUUUUGACAAGCAAAUGACAUUUUCUCCUGGAGCUUUUGGCAAUUUUGCUGUCUUCUAAUUAUAUGGAACAUUAGGUUUAAUUCUGUAAGAAAUGUAGUUGUUAACUAGAUACGGUUUUGCAGGAUCACCUCCCCAGUGCUUCAUAUAAAUAUUUGUGUCACAGUGAUGUUAUUUUCUUGUCCAUAUAUCCAUAUAUAUAUGUGUGUGUGGAGAUUGCUGCUGUUACAGCAUUGUUCUGGUCACUUCAGCAGUAUUGCUUGUACUCUUUUAAUUCCCAAGUGCUACACACAACCACUUCUUUCCAAAAUUUCUUUGCCCACUGUGUGGGUCCAGCCAGCACUCCUUCUCAGGUGCUCAACAAAGAAACCCUGCCUUGGUCCUACACAGAGUGAAUCACAAAUCUGGCAGUUCAUUUCAGGGCUGCUCUCAUUGUUAAUCAGCUACUCUGCAACCCGACAGCUCCAUUGCAUUUCCUUCUGCAUCGGAUAUGACUUUACGACAAACCUGGUGUCCAGCAGCUAGCAGUCUGCGUUAGAGCUGUACCUUGAACAAGGUCAUCUCAAAUUGCCCUCCUGUACAAACACGUGCUUAGAAAAGCUCCUGCCUUUGGAUCUUUACAGCUCCAGUAAGGAAAGGGGGCUGCCAAGCUUAUCAACAGAGCAGGUGAUGGGUUCCCAGGUCCUUCGCUCACUGUGGAGUUCUGUGCAGCCUAGGAAUUGCACUUAAACCCAGACAAAACCUCUGGGGGAAAGAAGGGGUUGCUUUUCCAUCUGUUAUUUAAUGAACGGCUGACCAGGGGAUGAGCAGCAGGAGGAGGAAGAUUUCUCAGAUGUUUUUCCACUUGCUAAGAGACUGCCUGAGGGUUGCUUGUCAGAAUUUCUUCCACUGCAGCUUUGUUUGCUACCAUGAGGAAACAAACAGCACAGCACCCAAGUGCACACUGCUUACCUACACAAAGCACUGAGAGUAACAGCUAAAAUAAGAGGUACACUAGGACAUCACAACUGCUCAGAGAGUCAGAUCUUGGGCUACUGCAGUGAUUUUGUUUCACACGCUCAGCCCAAGGUGCUCUGAAAGCCCUUACUGCCACUUCAGAAAGAAGGGACUUGCUCCUCGGUUGCCUGAAGGACUUGCUACCCUGUAGGUUAAAAAAAAAAAAAAGGACUUAACAUUUUGGGUGUUCCUACAUGGAGCUGGUGCAGGUCAGCUCCUCAAAGCUGUUGGCGACUGGCUCAAGGCUUGCCCAGAGCGAGACCAGCUCAUGGACAUGCUAGGGCUUUCACAAGCUUCAAAGGUGUGUUUGCUUUAGCAAACUACCCCAAAGGGCUAAUUAAGCGACAGCAGCUGCUCUUCUCAGCUCUGUUUGCAGGCUGUACAGGGGGAAGGUCCUUGGGAGGGGCCCUGAGGAGCUCCCAAAGCCCUUGCCUCCAAGAUGCUGCCCUAUUUCCCCUACCUUUCCCCUAUUUCACACCUCAUGCCCCCAGCCCUGUCCCCUGGGCUCCACGGUUGUCACUGGGGAUCUGGCCAGGGGAAAUUGCUGUGAAAUCAGUUGUGGGUGGAAGGAUAUGUGUGUUGUAAAUGACUUCAUGGAUUCAUGGGGGGGUUGAUCUUUCCAAUUAUGAAAUAAAGCUUGCUAAAUUCUGGGGUUUGAAACA
RNAcentral lists this long non-coding RNA (2174 nucleotides) under Anas platyrhynchos platyrhynchos (common mallard). RNAcentral describes it as "lncRNA (ENSAPLG00000026921.1)". The record is from RNAcentral. Lineage: Eukaryota; Metazoa; Chordata; Aves; Anseriformes; Anatidae.